Molecule: transfer RNA, 65 nt
Filed under: Dinocras cephalotes
Lineage: Eukaryota; Metazoa; Arthropoda; Insecta; Plecoptera; Perlidae
Description: tRNA-Ala
Rfam family: tRNA
About the family: Transfer RNA (tRNA) molecules are approximately 80 nucleotides in length. Their secondary structure includes four short double-helical elements and three loops (D, anti-codon, and T loops). Further hydrogen bonds mediate the characteristic L-shaped molecular structure. tRNAs have two regions of fundamental functional importance: the anti-codon, which is responsible for specific mRNA codon recognition, and the 3' end, to which the tRNAs corresponding amino acid is attached (by aminoacyl-tRNA synthetases). tRNAs cope with the degeneracy of the genetic code in two manners: having more than one tRNA (with a specific anti-codon) for a particular amino acid; and 'wobble' base-pairing, i.e. permitting non-standard base-pairing at the 3rd anti-codon position.
Source: RNAcentral
AGGACCGUAGUUAACUAUAACAUUUGGUUUGCAUCCAAAAAGUAUUGAUUAUUCAAUCUGUCUUG